RNAcentral lists this ribosomal RNA (253 nucleotides) under uncultured bacterium. RNAcentral describes it as "partial 16S ribosomal RNA". It matches the Rfam family "Bacterial small subunit ribosomal RNA", at positions 524 to 776 of the family's 1533-position model. The record is from RNAcentral.
UACGUAGGGUGCGAGCGUUAAUCGGAAUUACUGGGCGUAAAGCGUGCGCAGGCGGUUUUGUAAGUCAGAUGUGAAAUCCCCGGGCUCAACCUGGGAACUGCGUUUGAAACUACAAGGCUAGAGUAUGGUAGAGGGGGGUAGAAUUCCACGUGUAGCAGUGAAAUGCGUAGAGAUGUGGAGGAAUACCGAUGGCGAAGGCAGCCCCCUGGGCCAAUACUGACGCUCAUGCACGAAAGCGUGGGGAGCAAACAGG